AAUCUUUGUCUGGCACCCACAUGUCUCUGAAAAUGCACACUCUUCCUUGAUUAUGUCAAAUGCAAAGCCAGAGUCUCCACUAGAGGUAUUUUGUGUCAGCAAUGUUGAGUGAGAUACCUUCAAUCUGAACACCCUGACUACAUGAAUGUUAGAAUCAGCUCAAUAUGGAUAAAUGCCUACAUUCUAAUGGGAGUAGGAGGGAUCAGCUAACAAUAACAACAACAACAAAAAACCUAUCUAAUGAUAGAUGGUAGGAACCUGAGCUAUCAAGGAAAAUAAGACAGAUUAGAAGAAAUGACAGUAGCAGAAGGACAGGGGCAUUCUUGCCUCAGACAUGUGAAUGAGAUUGAGCAGAAGUUGAAAUGAAAGGAAUCGAGUUUCAUGAAAGCAAAUAGGAAGAAUCUUCAGUGUGGAAAAAGAGCAAAUAAAUGGCAAGUACCAAGGAUUCCAGGAGAGCAAGACAGGCAGGCAAAGUGACGCACAACUAGAGUCUUUCAAGAAUGAAAGCACGGGCUUGGCCAAGACCAUUGCCAGGACUCGAGCAGUGAGCCAGGAGAAGGGUGACCUCAGAGCAGCAGCCAGGGCCGAGCUUUCACCGUGCCAGCUUAGUGUCCUCUCCUCUGAGUGGAGUGGGCCUGUAUCAGGCUUUGGGUGUAUUAUCAUGAACUGACUACACUUUCGGUUCAUGAAACCUUUGAAAUGACUCAGACUGCAGCCAACAUACGACCCGUCAUCAACUUUAUUGCCCAUCACUCCAUAUCUUGCCUACUUUGCCAUAGUCAAACCCAUCUGGUCCACUGAGGUUUUGCUCAUGUUGUUUUCCUUGUGUGAAUUUGCCCUUGUUACCAAUUGUGACAGAUGUAUGAGGUCUUGCUU
Long non-coding RNA from Ochotona princeps (American pika), 876 nucleotides. RefSeq lists it as uncharacterized. The record is from RefSeq and is a predicted model, not a curated record. NCBI's taxonomy places the organism in Eukaryota, Metazoa, Chordata, Mammalia, Lagomorpha, Ochotonidae. The transcript is spliced from 2 exons.